AAAAAAGAUGAAAAGAGGAGAGUUUGUAAAAACGCGGCGAUCUCUGGCGCGGUCUGAGAUGAGUGAGUGUCAGUGAGUGUUGGCAGGUCGGCCGCUCGCUCGCUUAUAGAACGCAGAGAGUUGAGCUGCGCGCAUCGGCGGGAGAAUGAAAUGACGGAAGCCGGAAGUGGCGCUGAGCACAGCCAGUCCUGCGCGAGCUCCACGCCAAACCCUGCGCGAGAGGCGAGCGUCCAGUGCGCGAGGGGGGAGCCACGCAACUCCGCGCACCGCAGAUCCCACUCACAUGCGCUGAGAACUACUAGACGUCGCGGCGCGUCGGGCACGCGUCCAAACCUUAAAACUGCGCUUUUAAUAUCUUUAUUGGAAGAAGGAAAGUCAUUCCAGCCCGACUUUGCUUAAUGCAUAACUGAUACAACUGCUAUCGAGUGUCACGUCCCUUAUUUUUUUUUAUUUUUCUUGUGCACAACAAGGUUCAAAAAACGCAUACUCAGUCGGGGCCCCUUUCAGAAUAAAGUAAACUUUUCCACGCGCGAGAAGACAAAACAAAGCUAGGUAUAUGUUUGGAAACUGUCUUUAGUCCAACAGCAUUUGAAGAUUGAAAUGUGAGCCGUGCAUCGCGCGCUCAAUUAUCAAAGAGCCCCGAGAUCAUCAAUCAUUAGGAAGGCCUGAAGUUUCAGAGGAGGAGCAAUGAUAUUGAUUGUGCUACAGAUGGCCCCGAAUACCACAAACAGACCCUUAAAAUACUACUCCUCAUCAAUGAUCAUAUAGCCUGCAUCGCGGCACAUGUGACAUCAUCGUCGUAUCGACCGAUUUUUACAUAAAUGUCUACAUUUCGAGCUCCCUGACUUGUUUUGUUGUCGAAAUUAACAAUUCACGGCUUAGUGGAGCUGAACUCAUGCGGGAUCUCAACAAACAAGGUCAAUAAAGUGCUCCGCAGACGCCCGAACCACGGGCUUGAGUUCUGAUGAAGCAGGCAAUUAAAACGGAUUUCAUAAAUGCAACAACUGCUCUGUUUAUGACAGAGGGGAGGGAAGACCACGAGGAGAGAGUAGAAGUGAAGGGUACACUGUGCGAUAGCGACUGCAGUGGACACAGAGCGCGCGCUGCCUGACCACUGCUUCAUCGCGAGGAAGAAGAUGAGGACCAUCUCUAUAGAGACGCGGGAACAUGUCACUCCUGUCCCUGAAGGAAGCUGUGCAGCUCCAGUGUUUGGAGAAGUUUCGUGAGUAACUGGAAAUUCUUGAAAGGCGUAUUUUCCUUCAGUGGCAUUAUUCUCACUGCACUGUGAGACGCUCAGUGUGUGUGUGUGUGUGUGUGUGUGUGUGUGUGUCUGUCUGUGUGUGUGUGUGUGUGUGUGUGUGUGUGUGUGUGUGUGUGUCCUCAACGCGAGUCUGCAGCUCUUUAGCGACACCUGCCGGAUCAAUCAUGCGCCGCACUGCAUCCACUGUAAAACUCUAGCUAAAUUAAAAUAAAGAAACACUGAUAUCGUGAGAGAGAAAAAUACAGAUAUCAACGAAAUUUGCUUUGAAUAAAUGAUAGUAUGUCAUGGGCCAAUUGCGAAGAGCGAAAUAAACAGACCACCAAGAGUUUUCGCAUAGCCAUUUUUGUGUGUGUGUGUGUGUGUGUGUGUGUGUGUGCAUGUUUUAUUAGUUUUUGUUAUCGAUGAUGUUUAAAGUGUCUUUUGUUGUUGUUGAGUGCUUCACAAUAUCUCAUACAAUUAGAUGAAUUUCAUUUUCAUUCGUUUCAUUCAUUUUUUUUUUCACUCGCCAGUUUUCCCUCGGGAUAAAUCCAUAAAUAUUAAAUGUAAAAUACACAUAUAUAUUUGCAUCACUGAUAGGUGAACAACGUCUAUAAUUAUUUUCUUAAAAAUAAAUGCAUUAAAAUGUAUCACACAACUGCAAAAUGAGUACGAAUCAUUUACGCGUUGUUAUUAUUGCUAUUAAUAAUCCCUUUCGCCAUAUUUGGAAGUGCAAACAUAUCUGAUUAUUUAAAAAAGGGGGGAAACAAUAUCUAAUCUUUACAAUACCAAAUAAAAUAGCAACAUAUAUUGGUCGAAUACAAUAUCACUAAUAAAUGUAAAAAAUGUAACACGUUAUUUUAAGAUGUCCUUGUUACACGUUACAUGAUACUGUUAUAAUAAUAAUAAAUUAUGCAUAAACACGCAAGUAACCGUACAGUAAGUACAUGCAGUUCAUUAAUAUUACUCAGUACAUAAAUGUAUAAUUACACUGUAACAAGAACACCUUAAAAUAAAGUGUAACCGAAAUAAACAAUACAUAAAUAAAGCUCAUUGCAGCGCCCGAUCAACUCUUUGUAAAAUAUCUACUUUGACAUGUAUCUUGAAACAGGCCUAUAUAUGUCAAAAGCUUUCAGUGUCCACGAGAAGAAUACUAAAAGAAAGAAAUGCUUGAUUAUUAAUGAUCUUGGGAUAAUAAGAUAACGUGUUAUUUGUGUCGCUCGCCUCGAGUGCGUUAAGAGGCUUAAAGCUCUGACACCUUUACAUUAAAUUCACACCUUUAAUUUACACUCAUAUCCCGCAACAAGAAGAAACACAAUAUACGAAUCUUUUCUGAUUAGAUCUGAUUUGCCUUUUCAUUUCCUUUCCUUUAUUUAUUUAUUUAUUUAUUUAUUUAUUUAUUUAUUUAUUUAUUUAUUUAUUUAUUAUUUUUGUGGGCAUUGCUUUAUUAUUAUUAUUAUUAUUAUUAUUAUAUACAGGCUAAUAUACGGCGAGAAUUGUAUAAUGCGUAUUCAUGUAAAAAGGCCUACAUUUAAAGUAUGAUCAGCCAAAAGUUAUUUUCAUUUUAGAGAGAGAAAAAAGAAAUAUGAUUAGGCCAAUUUUUAUUUUAUUUUAUUUUUUUGUAAGAGAUGCGGUUAGCGGCUCAAGGGGUUAAAAUCUUGCACAUAGAUCAGAGUUGUAGUGACUGCGUGUCAAAACAGUAAUGAAACACAAGCCACGCCCACUUGCGUCACUGACAACUCAUUAGCGCUGAUCGUUUGCUUCUAAACUAGAGGACAAAAUGAUAUCGUUAAUGGCUUCUUGGUAAUUCGUUACUGUGCAGGUUUUCCAGAUAUACCGUGUGUUCAUGCACGAAACUAUAACAAAGCGCCACUUUCCACAGGUUCACUCAUUAUGCAGCUCCAGGAAUCACGGGCCCCCUCAGGACUCCUGGUUUCCCGCUAUUUAAACAAAUACUCGACAUGUUAAGAAGAAUUGUUUUCCAUAUCCACUGUUUAAAUUAAAGGUGUAAAAUCCACAUAGCUGUUCGCGAUGUGUUCAAAUAAAUGCCGUUGCCUUCUUUGUUGUUGUUUUGUUUUUCUAACAUCUUCCCAUUUGACGGUAUCUCCCUUGGUUCCGGAAGAGUUUACUCGAUCAAGCAGGGAGCCAGGUAAUUACCACACACUGUCAAACACAGGGACCACUGAUUCAAAUGCAGAGUGAAGUAUCAAAGAGGAGCGUUCCGUUCGCAGGCGGCCCCAGAUCUCCAGGAGACGCUGGCGAGACGCCCGCCACAGGGACAGCGCGAGGAUGUGACAGCACUUACAUCACAGCCCUGAACGGAACGUUUGCCUCUGUACGAACCGCUGCCCUCCAGGCCCGCAGAAGCCCAACUAUUCCCGGUGUGCGAUGCAACCAUGAAAUCGAUUUAGAGUCGGGUUAAAAAUGUCAGUUUUAGAAGAACAUUAAUUAUAAUACUGUUUACACUGAAACCAUGCAGUUGCUACCUUAAAAUGCUAUUUUUGCCUUACUGAACAACACAACUAGUUUUGUUGGUAUGCAUUCGUGUAUUUAAUUAUGGUUAAUUAUCAUUUUCAGUGUAGAUUUAUUAAGAUGGUUUCGAAUCACGAUUUUUUGUUUUUUGUUUUUAUGUUUUUAUUUUUAUUUUACAUGCUAUUUGUAUUCAGAAAUGAAUACGUCUUUUAUGUGCAUAUGAUACGCAUGUGUCUAACGUGUGUAUGAUACGCAGAUUUGUGCGCAUAGGAUACGCACUUUGUUGGCGUACAUAUAAUAGGCAUCUUCCCCACACCCCUAAACCUACCAAAUGCAUAUCAUAUGCAUGCCAAAGUCAAUUUUUUUUGCUGUAAAUAGUACGCCAAAUAAAAACAGAAAAUCGUGCUAAACGCACAUUCAUGAGAUUGGGUUAUGAUGUGAUAUUCCACCAAAAAUAAAAUGCUUGUGAAUUUUAUUGCAUACAUUUUCCUCUAAUGCACAAUAGAAUAAUGUCACUCUGCUGCAUCUCAAGGAACUGUAGUUUAUUUAGUCCAAUUAGAUGAUGAGGCAAAAAUGCAAUGUCCCAGUUGCUGUGCAAAACUGUUGGAAUCUCAAUCCAGUCUGGAGGGACUUUUGAGUGUUUAACAUUAUAAACAUGCCCCCCUCCUCCAGCUCCGAGGGAUACUUUACAUGUAAAUAUUCACACAGCCAAAGAGCAGGCCAUGAAUUAUUGAGCGCUGCAAAGAAGUAAAAUGUCUUUGUGUUCAAGCUCAAGAAUGGACAGAAGAGAGAGAAUUAUCCAAACAGAAAGGUGAUUGGGGAAUGAUGAAACAAAAGAUACUGGUUAUUUCAAAUCAUGCUCUCUCUCACACACACACACACACACACACACACACACACACGAUGCACAUCUAUAGGUAGGUGUGUGUGUGUGUGUGUGUGUGUGUGUGUGUGUGUGUGUGUGUACAGGCCUAUAUAUGAAUCUGCACAAACAAGAGUCACAUGUCAAAACUUGUCAAAGUUUCCCGGUGAAGAGAGUUGGGCUGAGUUCUGUUCUCGUCUUUGUUGUGUUCUGGCCUGUGGCUGAACACUUGACAGACUGUCAGGAGCUGAUGGGAUAUGAGUGCAGGUACUAGAAAGCUGUUCAUUUCUGUGGUUGAUUCACCACUCCAUUCUUUAUUAUCAAACAGGUAACAGCUAGAGAAACACAAUACUAAUGGGAUGCACGGGUGGAGAUCUGUGUUUAUUGUGUUUGUGAUGCGUGAGGUUUAGACACAAUGCUUUUCAGUGUUUAUGUACGGUGGAAUUAUAACUGUGCAUCGCUAAUAUGAAGCAGAAUUAAAGAUUUAGUGUUCAGUCAUUCCAAAGCCAUGUAAACAUUAAGACGCUCUGUUUACUGCAUGACCUCACCAUUGAAAACACAGAAAUGCACAACUCAAAUAAAAUAUCCCAGCUCAGCACAAGGCUUAAUCCCCAUACUACUAUUAAGUAAUUGUGAAUUACUGUACUAUAAUUGUGCGAGUAAACUAAAAGUCUAUUAGCAAUUUAACAGAAUGCACACACACACACACCAGGGCACUAAACAGACACAAUUCACAAGUGGUCCUGAUGUCUCAGAGGACUUUUAAUAUGUAUGAGGAACAUCAAAGAGGAAUAUCCUGCCAUGUGGCACCUCCAAAUGAUCAAGCUUAUUAUCAGAUAUAUGCAAAUGUUUUCCACUUUUGUUGCUCUCUGUUUGUGGAACUGCUGUGGAAAAUACAGAUGAUCGCUAGAAACACCACUGAUGAUAUCUAGUGAGCACUACCUGCAUGCAUUUUUGUGCAUUAAGCUUAUUUUCUCUGAUAAAAUCUGAAGACACCUCAUGUGUCACUUUCUAUGAGAAGAUUAUUAUGAAUUGGAUUUGUGUGAUUUGUGAUAAGAACCCUUGAAGAGAUGCUGCAAAUAAAUAAAUGAAACCA
Long non-coding RNA from Cyprinus carpio (common carp), 5667 nucleotides. RefSeq lists it as uncharacterized. NCBI's taxonomy places the organism in Eukaryota, Metazoa, Chordata, Actinopteri, Cypriniformes, Cyprinidae. The record is from RefSeq and is a predicted model, not a curated record.